Molecule: long non-coding RNA, 492 nt
Organism: Stegastes partitus (bicolor damselfish)
Lineage: Eukaryota; Metazoa; Chordata; Actinopteri; Pomacentridae
Exons: 2
Source: RefSeq, a predicted model, not a curated record
CGACGCAGGGAGUGAUGCCGGCUUUAUAAAUCCAAAUCGGACUUGAAAAGGUUCGGAAGCCGUCAUCGUUCGCUGACGUAGGAGAUUCGGGAGGAUGCUGACAAAAGUUGAUGCCUGCGCUCCCCCUCGUUGACCUGGAGGACCACACGGGUGUCAGACCACCGCGGUGAUAAUGUCAGACCACCAGAGAUGCUGAAGAGAGGCAAGAAAACAAAAUGAAAAAAAGAAAAGAGGUCAUGAGAAGAGCAGAGAGGUGGAGGAGAGAGAAGAGAUGUGGUUUGAUUGGCGAGCGUAACUGAAAGUCAGCCAUGCGGGGAGAGGCUCACCAGUGAGGAUCUGAAAUGUAGUUACUGUACAGUCAGAGGGACAGACCCGACGCUUCAUGUUGUACUCCACUGAACAAUGUGGUUAACCAGUCUGAUGUAAUACAGUAGCUCGAGUUGACACAGUGACGGAGAUAGCAUUUUCAAAUAAACACAGCGUAUGUGUGUU